This 164-nucleotide ribosomal RNA is filed under the name uncultured bacterium. RNAcentral describes it as "partial 16S rRNA". It matches the Rfam family "Bacterial small subunit ribosomal RNA", at positions 355 to 511 of the family's 1533-position model. The record is from RNAcentral.
UAGGGAAUCUUCCACAAUGGACGCAAGUCUGAUGGAGCAACGCCGCGUGAGUGAAGAAGGUCUUCGGAUCGUAAAACUCUGUUGUUAGAGAAGAACACGAGUGAGAGUAACUGUUCAUUCGAUGACGGUAUCUAACCAGCAAGUCACGGCUAACUACGUGCCNG